AUUGAACGCUGGCGGCAUGCCUAACACAUGCAAGUCGAACGGGGUAGCAAUACCCAGUGGCGGACGGGUGAGGAAUACAUAGGAAUUUGCCUUUAGGUGGGGGAUAGCCCGGGGAAACUCGGAGUAAUACCGCAUGAUGUCGAAAGACCAAAGUAGGGGAUCGCAAGACCUUGCGCCUUUAGAGAAGCCUAUGUCUGAUUAGCUAGUUGGUAGGGUAAUGGCCUACCAAGGCGACGANCAGUAACUGGUCUGAGAGGACGAUCAGUCACACCGGAACUGAGACACGGUCCGGACUCCUACGGGAGGCAGCAGUGGGGAAUAUUGGACAAUGGGCGAAAGCCUGAUCCAGCAAUGCCGCGUGUGUGAAGAAGGCCU
Molecule: ribosomal RNA, 375 nt
Filed under: uncultured bacterium
Lineage: Bacteria
Description: bacterial SSU rRNA
Rfam family: Bacterial small subunit ribosomal RNA
Source: RNAcentral